Molecule: ribosomal RNA, 253 nt
Filed under: uncultured bacterium
Lineage: Bacteria
Description: partial 16S ribosomal RNA
Rfam family: Bacterial small subunit ribosomal RNA
Source: RNAcentral
UACGGAGGGUGCGAGCGUUGUCCGGAAUCACUGGGCGUAAAGGGCGCGUAGGUGGCGUCGCAAGUCAACGGUGAAAGCUCGGCGCUCAACGCCGAGUCGGCCGUCGAGACUGCGAGGCUCGAGCACUGUAGGGGCAGAUGGAAUUCCGGGUGUAGCGGUGGAAUGCGUAGAGAUCCGGAAGAACACCGGUGGCGAAGGCGGUCUGCUGGGCAGUUGCUGACACUGAUGCGCGACAGCGUGGGGAGCAAACAGG